This 71-nucleotide transfer RNA is filed under the name Cordylochernes scorpioides. Its description in RNAcentral is "tRNA-Thr". The stretch from base 4 to 63 matches the Rfam family "tRNA", at positions 7 to 64 of the family's 71-position model. From Rfam's summary of the family: Transfer RNA (tRNA) molecules are approximately 80 nucleotides in length. The record is from RNAcentral. Lineage: Eukaryota; Metazoa; Arthropoda; Arachnida; Pseudoscorpiones; Chernetidae.
GUAGUAGCCUAGUGGACAUGGCAUCUGCCCGGUAAGCGGAACACUGUGGGUUCGAUUCCCAUCCCUGGACA